UCACUUAAGCAGUAUAUGUACUAAAAUUGGAAUGAUACAGAGAAAGAUCAGUACGGGUCCUGCACAAGAAUGACAUGUAAGUCUGUGAAGCAUUUCACACUUAA
This is a small nuclear RNA of Erinaceus europaeus (western European hedgehog), 104 nucleotides long. The record is from Ensembl. NCBI's taxonomy places the organism in Eukaryota, Metazoa, Chordata, Mammalia, Eulipotyphla, Erinaceidae.